Molecule: small nuclear RNA, 106 nt
Organism: Pteronotus mesoamericanus
Lineage: Eukaryota; Metazoa; Chordata; Mammalia; Chiroptera; Mormoopidae
Source: RefSeq, a predicted model, not a curated record
GUGCUUGCUUUGGCAGCACAUAUACUGAAACUGGAACAAUGAAGAGAAGAGCAGCACGCCCCUAUGCAAAGAUGACAUGCAAGUACAUGAAGUGUUCCAUAUUGUU